AGAGAAUGAAGUGAUACUGAAGGCAGAGAUGAAGUUCUAAGGAGAUAGAGCUUAGAAAGACCUGGAAAAACACCAAAAAGAGGGACCGCACGAGGCUUGGGCACCCUGUCUAGAAGCUUGAGCCCUGGAAAAUCGACGUCCACCGCCCCGGCGCCCUGUUGGGGCGCUUGAGCGUCGGGUCUCGAAGCCUGGGCGCCCAUCUUAGAGGCUCAAGCCCUACAUGAGGAUCAUCCACUGCCCGGGCACCCUAAGUGGGGCGCUUGAGCGUCGAGCUUCGUGGGUCAGGCCCAAUUUUUGCUCUGUUUCAACUUUAUUGGAUCGGGCCCUGUUUCCAUUCUGUUCUGACUCUAUUUAAAGGACCCUGGCGCUCUAGGUUUUGUAUCUUUGGCAAAGAGAAGCGCAGCAUCACACUCUUUCCCCAAUUCUUAGGGAUUCUCUAUCACAUUCUCUUCU
This 453-nucleotide long non-coding RNA is filed under the name Vigna radiata. Its description in RNAcentral is "long non-coding RNA (VRAD_LNC016538)". The record is from RNAcentral. Lineage: Eukaryota; Viridiplantae; Streptophyta; Magnoliopsida; Fabales; Fabaceae.